Molecule: ribosomal RNA, 275 nt
Filed under: uncultured Eubacteriales bacterium
Lineage: Bacteria; Bacillati; Bacillota; Clostridia; Eubacteriales
Description: uncultured Clostridiales bacterium partial 16S ribosomal RNA
Rfam family: Bacterial small subunit ribosomal RNA
Source: RNAcentral
UUUCUUCGGAAUGAAACUAGAUAUGACUUAGUGGCGGACGGGUGAGUAACACGUGAGCAACCUGCCUAUCAGAGGGGGAUAACGAUUGGAAACGAUCGCUAAUACCGCAUGACAUAGCGGAACCGCAUGGUUUUGUUAUCAAAGAUUUUAUCGCUGAUAGAUGGGCUCGCGUCCGAUUAGAUAGUUGGUGGGGUAACGGCCUACCAAGUCGACGAUCGGUAGCCGGACUGAGAGGUCGAACGGCCACAUUGGGACUGAGACACGGCCCAGACUCC